Molecule: long non-coding RNA, 382 nt
Organism: Fopius arisanus
Lineage: Eukaryota; Metazoa; Arthropoda; Insecta; Hymenoptera; Braconidae
Exons: 3
Source: RefSeq, a predicted model, not a curated record
UGGAUAUGAAAAAGUCUGCUACGGAACAUCAUCAUAGUUACUAUGUGAUAACCAGUACCACAGCUCUUGAUGCUGUGAUUGCUAUGCCCAUAGGACCUUCCAUCGUUGAGAAGUUUACUAUAUACCAUGGUGCCCGUGCAUAGCAGAAAUGGAGGAAACUUAAAAAUUUACUGAAAAUGGUGGACAGAAUCCGUUAACCCAUCAUUCCCAGUUCAAAGACCUAAACCAAGACCAAUACUGGUUCUUUUCCUAAUUUUUACAUAAAAAGGGAGUUUAUGACAUAAAUAGAAAUAAUAAGUAUUCAGAUUGUGACUACUUUUAAGGUAUUAAUGACACUUGGAAUAUGCAACAAUAUUGAUGUACGCUGUUCUUGUAUACGAUC